GGCGGGUCAGAAUGUCUGAGAAGAUCAAGUGUGCUUCUCCACUGAUGAUGAUGAGCUGGAUACCAGCUUAUGGGCUAAUUUCUUUCAAGGACGGGACCAGAUGUGAUUGGAGUUGAAGACAAUGCUGAAGACCAAAGAAGCAAUGGAAGAAGCACAUUAAAGCAAUGAGGGUGUCCAGCCUGUUUGCCAUGUCAGAUCCACAGGCUAGAUGGCGGGAGAUGCUUCAUUAUACCCCUGAUUGCCUUUAAUUAUUAGUUGAUCGAUUAAUUAAUUUUAAUAUAUAUUUUUUAAUUAUCCUAUUAUAUUAAAUAAUUGGUCUCAGUUAACUAUUUCAUAUAU
This is a long non-coding RNA of Carassius auratus (goldfish), 339 nucleotides long. RefSeq lists it as uncharacterized. Lineage: Eukaryota; Metazoa; Chordata; Actinopteri; Cypriniformes; Cyprinidae. The record is from RefSeq and is a predicted model, not a curated record. The transcript has 3 exons.